GGGCCCGCACAAGCGGUGGAGCAUGUGGUUUAAUUCGAUGAUACGCGAGGAACCUUACCAGGGCUUAAAUGCAGAACGACCGGGAUGGAAACAUCCCUUUCUUCGGACGGUCUGCAAGGUGCUGCAUGGUUGUCGUCAGCUCGUGCUGUGAAGUGUCGGGUUAAGUCCCAUAACGAGCGCAACCCCUAUUUCUAGUUGCCAGCGGUUCGGCCGGGGACUCUAGAGAAACUGCCAGCGUAAGCUGUGAGGAAGGUGGGGAUGACGUCAAAUCAUCACGGCCCUUACGUCCUGGGCCACACACGUGCUACAAUGGUGGGGACAACGAGUCGCAAUACCGCGAGGUGGAGCAAAUCUCUUAAAGCUUGUCUCAGUUCGGAUAGGAGUCUGCAACUCGACUCCUUGAAGUUGGAGUC
This 413-nucleotide ribosomal RNA is filed under the name uncultured bacterium. Its description in RNAcentral is "bacterial SSU rRNA". It matches the Rfam family "Bacterial small subunit ribosomal RNA", at positions 917 to 1333 of the family's 1533-position model. The record is from RNAcentral.